Molecule: ribosomal RNA, 459 nt
Filed under: uncultured bacterium
Lineage: Bacteria
Description: partial 16S ribosomal RNA
Rfam family: Bacterial small subunit ribosomal RNA
Source: RNAcentral
CCUACGGGAGGCAGCAGUGAGGAAUAUUGGUCAAUGGGCGGAAGCCUGAACCAGCCAAGCCGCGUGAGGGAUGAAGGUUCUAUGGAUCGUAAACCUCUUUUAUAAGGGAACAAAGUGGGGGACGUGUCCCAUUAUGAAUGUACCUUAUGAAUAAGCAUCGGCUAACUCCGUGCCAGCAGCCGCGGUAAUACGGAGGAUUCGAGCGUUAUCCGGAUUUAUUGGGUUUAAAGGGUGCGCAGGCGGCCUGUUAAGUCAGCGGUAAAAUCGCGGGGCUCAACCCCGGUCCGCCGUUGAAACUGGCGUUCUGGAGUGGGCGAGAAGUAUGCGGAAUGCGUGGUGUAGCGGUGAAAUGCAUAGAUAGCGCGCAGAACUCCGAUUGCGAAGGCAGCAUACCGGCGCCCAACUGACGCUGAAGCACGAAAGCGUGGGUAUCGAACAGGAUUAGAUACCCCUGUAGUC